Molecule: non-coding RNA, 107 nt
Filed under: Ruegeria sp. ANG-S4
Lineage: Bacteria; Pseudomonadati; Pseudomonadota; Alphaproteobacteria; Rhodobacterales; Roseobacteraceae
Also listed under: 1 other name
Description: TPP riboswitch aptamer (THI element)
Rfam family: TPP riboswitch aptamer (THI element)
About the family: Vitamin B(1) in its active form thiamin pyrophosphate (TPP) is an essential coenzyme that is synthesised by coupling of pyrimidine and thiazole moieties in bacteria. The previously detected thiamin-regulatory element, thi box was extended, resulting in a new, highly conserved RNA secondary structure, the THI element, which is widely distributed in eubacteria and also occurs in some archaea. Analysis of operon structures identified a large number of new candidate thiamin-regulated genes, mostly transporters, in various prokaryotic organisms.
Source: Rfam by way of RNAcentral
CCGCAACCGUUGGGGUGCCCCGAUCAGGGGGCUGAGAGGCGCGACUGCGUUAACCCAUCGAACCUGAUCCGGGCAAUACCGGCGGAGGGAACGGUGUCAUGCACACA